Molecule: ribosomal RNA, 372 nt
Filed under: uncultured organism
Description: bacterial SSU rRNA
Rfam family: Bacterial small subunit ribosomal RNA
Source: RNAcentral
CGUAGGAGGCGAGCGUUAUCCGGAUUCACUGGGCGUAAAGCGCGUGCAGGUGGCUUGGUAAGUUAGGCGUGAAAUCUCCCGGCUCAACUGGGAGAGGUCGUCUAAUACUACCGGGCUAGAGAGCAGAAGAGGAAGAUGGAAUUCCCGGUGUAGUGGUGAAAUGCGUAGAUAUCGGGAGGAACACCAGUGGCGAAGGCGAUCUUCUGGUCUGUUUCUGACACUCAGACGCGACAGCUAGGGUAGUAAACGGGAUUAGAGACCCCGGUAAUCCUAGCCGUAAACGAUGUGAACUUGGCGUUGGUGGGUUAAACUCCAUCAGUGCCAAAGCAAACGCGAUAAGUUCACCGCCUGGGGACUACGGCCGCAAGGUUA